ACGAACGCUGGCGGCGUGCUUAACACAUGCAAGUCGAGCGGUAAGGCCCUUUCGGGGGUACACGAGCGGCGAACGGGUGAGUAACACGUGGGUGACCUGCCCUCAGCUCUGGGAUAAGCCUGGGAAACCGGGUCUAAUACUGGAUAUGACUCCAUGACGCAUGUUGUGGGGUGGAAAGCCUUGUGCGGCUGAGGAUGGGCCCGCGGCCUAUCAGCUUGUUGGUGGGGUGAUGGCCUACCAAGGCGACGACGGGUAGCCGGCCUGAGAGGGCGACCGGCCACACUGGGACUGAGACACGGCCCAGACUCCUACGGGAGGCAGCAGUGGGGAAUCUUGCGCAAUGGGCGAAAGCCUGACGCAGCGACGCCGCGUGAGGGAUGACGGCCUGGU
RNAcentral lists this ribosomal RNA (390 nucleotides) under uncultured bacterium. RNAcentral's name for it is "bacterial SSU rRNA". It matches the Rfam family "Bacterial small subunit ribosomal RNA", at positions 29 to 420 of the family's 1533-position model. The record is from RNAcentral.